CCCUCAAUGCAUCAAUCAAGGGAAUAUUAAUGUGAAGAUGUGAAGUUGCUUGAAGAUAUCAAGGAACUUCUUAAAAUUUACAUCCUCAUUGCUUUUAUAGAAUCUUUAUGGGAAUAGCGGUAGAGGUCUCUCAAACCCCUCUUUCUCUUCUUUCCUCUUGAACACGCUCUGUCUCUGAAGUUGGUACUGGAAUUAACCUUUGUGGGAAAGGAGGUGGAUGCUUGUAGUUGUCCCAGUUAAUUACUCUCCUCUUUGGAGGCUCUACAUCCGAUAAUUCUAUAUUUGUGUCUUGAAUUCUCUGUUUAGGAUGAGCUUCAACCAACUCUUUUUUAUUUUUCUGAGCGAGUCUGCCAUUACAUGUUUAGUAUUAUUCUCUGUAUCACUCGGUAGUGCACUUUUAGGUCUUGCAUGUUGUGAUGAGGUAGUUGGACCACUUGACACUCAAGUCAUGAAUGGAUUUCUGCAUUUCAUUCACAAUCUGAGGGUGUUGUCCUAUAAACUGUUUCAUUGUCUCCUUUAAUGAAUUGCUCACUUGUGGAGCUUAUGGUGUAUAUUGUUGUCUUUGGGCCUGUUGAUUUCCACCCCAUGAAAAAUUUGGGUGAUUUUGUAGUUUUACUGCCCCACAUAAUAUAUAAAUUUUGAAUUUAAAGGAUAUCCAGAGUAAGCAUAAUUUUCACCACACUUCUCAUAAAAUAAUACA
Molecule: long non-coding RNA, 700 nt
Filed under: Capsicum annuum
Lineage: Eukaryota; Viridiplantae; Streptophyta; Magnoliopsida; Solanales; Solanaceae
Description: long non-coding RNA (CANN_LNC015392)
Source: RNAcentral